AGUGAACGCUGGCGGUAGGCCUAACACAUGCAAGUCGAACGGCAGCACAGUAAGAGCUUGCUCUUACGGGUGGCGAGUGGCGGACGGGUGAGGAAUACAUCGGAAUCUACUUUUUAGUGGGGGAUAACGUAGGGAAACUUACGCUAAUACCGCAUACGACCUACGGGUGAAAGCAGGGGAUUUUCGGACCUUGCGCGAUUGAAUGAGCCGAUGUCGGAUUAGCUAGUUGGCGGGGUAAAGGCCCACCAAGGCGACGAUCCGUAGCUGGUCUGAGAGGAUGAUCAGCCACACUGGAACUGAGACACGGUCCAGACUCCUACGGGAGGCAGCAGUGGGGAAUAUUGGACAAUGGGCGCAAGCCUGAUCCAGCCAUACCGCGUGGGUGAAGAAGGCCUUCGGGUUGUAAAGCCCUUUUGUUGGGAAAGAAAAGCAGCAGGUUAAUACCCCGCUGUUCUGACGGUACCCAAAGAAUAAGCACCGGCUAACUUCGUG
This 492-nucleotide ribosomal RNA is filed under the name uncultured bacterium. RNAcentral describes it as "partial 16S ribosomal RNA". It matches the Rfam family "Bacterial small subunit ribosomal RNA", at positions 29 to 507 of the family's 1533-position model. The record is from RNAcentral.